This 605-nucleotide long non-coding RNA is filed under the name Brassica napus (rape). RNAcentral's name for it is "long non-coding RNA (BNAP_LNC014656)". The record is from RNAcentral. Lineage: Eukaryota; Viridiplantae; Streptophyta; Magnoliopsida; Brassicales; Brassicaceae.
GGUGUUGUGUUCUUUUAACUGGAUGAAACAUGCAGUCCACUAAAGCAACUUAUUGUAUACGAUACUACGAACUUUAUGAACUACGUCAAAUAAUCGACAAAAUCAUUAAUAAUAAAUAUGUUAAAAAGGAUGAUCACAAUAAAUACCGGAAAUCGGUGGUUUGAAGUCCAAGACCGAAUGAUAUAUAGAAUCCUCGGGAUCUAUGAGUUUAUGGUCUAACAACAACAAGAACUCACAACAACAAAAAUUGCCAUAUGGUUUAGGCCAUCCAUCUAAUUUCUUUUAAUGUAUUUUUAUCUUUUUAUCUUAAGUUUGAUUAAAAAUACGUAUAAGAAAAACAAUAUUUAUUUCAUGAAUUAUGGUAACUUAAAAUUCUUUUAGCAUAAUUAUCUUGGUUUAACGGUGCUUUUUGGAAAUAAUUUGGGUUGGUGAUACCUUUUCUUAUAAACCCUGGCUAAUGUUUUGACGAGUUGAGCGAAUUGGAAGGCAAAUAAUUAUAUCUUUCACCCACACAUACUCUCCAGUGAACAUUUCUAUAUUAAAUUAAUAAGAGCUAAAUACAUUUAUGAUUCAUUCAUAUUACGAUUCUCACAUAUGGACAAGUA